RNAcentral lists this ribosomal RNA (378 nucleotides) under uncultured bacterium. Its description in RNAcentral is "bacterial SSU rRNA". It matches the Rfam family "Bacterial small subunit ribosomal RNA", at positions 521 to 896 of the family's 1533-position model. The record is from RNAcentral.
UAAGACAGAGGGGGCAAGCGUUGCUCGGAAUCACUGGGCGUAAAGGGCGCGUAGGCGGGAUGGCAAGUCAGUCGUGAAAUCUCUCGGCUCAACCGAGAAACGUCGGCUGAUACUGCCGUUCUUGAGGGAUGCAGAGGAGACUGGAAUUCCCGGUGUAGCGGUGAAAUGUGUAGAGAUCGGGAGGAACACCGGUGGCGAAGGCGGGUCUCUGGGCAUUUCCUGACGCUGAGGCGCGAAAGCGUGGGGAGCAAACGGGAUUAGAUACCCCGGUAGUCCACGCUGUAAACGUUGGGCGCUAGGUGUGGGGGGCCUCUCCGGUUCUCUGUGCCGCAGCUAACGCAUUAAGCGCCCCGCCUGGGGAGUACGGCCGCAAGGCUA